AGGAAAGGGACUUGGCAACAACCUAAUAACGCAGCCGACAGAGAUGUUCACACGUCAAGACUGGUGACGACCUUACAGCUUUUGAUAUUCCAUCAGACAGGGUCGGAUGGAGUGUGUCGAUCGUCGCAAAUUUCUGGCGAUUUUUUUUCUAUUUUUACUGGGAAAAAAAUUGAAAGUGUUAAUGGUGAGGAUAGCAAAAUUUCUCACUUCCUCGUAAAUUACUUCCGGGUGCAGAUGGACUGACUGCUGCGUUUCACUCCCACGCCAUCCUGGUCCUACUCAUGAAAUAAUACAGAAGUGAGUGUAUUAAAGUGCAGCAUUUUAGAUUUUUUGUGAACACUCGGAAAUGUGAAUUGAACUACGAAGACGUGAAUGAGGAGAGACAAUUUUGCUCGCAAUUUGAUCGAUUUCGAGGAAAAUGUCGGUAGUUCCGCCAUUAGCAAACCGCCAUUAGUGAAGCCAUUAGAAGGAGGUUUGCAUGUUGGUCGGGAUCUACUACUCAAGCAGUUAAGCCACGUCCUGUGGUAAUAGGAGUUGGUUCGGUUCGAGCUUCAAAAGUGGUCGUUUUUUGCAAGAUUUUUCUGCACGAUGAAUCUUAGUUAUUACUUUUUCAUCGUGUGUGGAUUUCUACUGUCAUUUUCUGAAGGUAAUUACCAAAAUCAUUGAACCGAUUCGGUACAUUGAGCCAACGCCUAAAAGGUAGUUCAUAUUUUGAGCCGUGUUGAGUGGUUCGAAUUACUGGUAAAA
Molecule: long non-coding RNA, 747 nt
Filed under: Bemisia tabaci
Lineage: Eukaryota; Metazoa; Arthropoda; Insecta; Hemiptera; Aleyrodidae
Description: lncRNA ENSSSA3NGG000577
Source: RNAcentral